UGUUGGGCUAAAGAUUAGUUCUUUGAAAUGGUCUGGGACGGACUACCCGAGCUCGGAAUAUGUGCCUGAAAUCCCAGCAGACAUUGGGUAUAGCGAUAGGGUUCGCCGUGAUGAAGAUGUCGGUAUCAGUGACGUGGAUACCGCCGUUCGGGAUCUUGGAUUGUCGACUCAAGAAAGUAGCCAGGUUUCUACUCAGACCCGCCAAGAUGAAGCUCUUAAAAGAGAUUUGCAGA
Molecule: small RNA, 233 nt
Filed under: Histoplasma capsulatum
Lineage: Eukaryota; Fungi; Ascomycota; Eurotiomycetes; Onygenales; Ajellomycetaceae
Also listed under: 1 other name
Description: hypothetical RNA
Source: RNAcentral